GAGAUGAGUUCUCCCUGACCCUUUAAGGGUCCUGAAGGAACGUUGAAGACGACGACGUUGAUAGGCCGGGUGUGUAAGCGCAGCGAUGCGUUGAGCUAACCGGUACUAAUGAACCGUGAGGCUUAACCUU
This 130-nucleotide ribosomal RNA is filed under the name Escherichia coli. Its description in RNAcentral is "partial 23S ribosomal RNA". It matches the Rfam family "Bacterial large subunit ribosomal RNA", at positions 2801 to 2925 of the family's 2925-position model. RNAcentral also lists the same sequence under 1 other name. Lineage: Bacteria; Pseudomonadati; Pseudomonadota; Gammaproteobacteria; Enterobacterales; Enterobacteriaceae. The record is from RNAcentral.